This 34598-nucleotide long non-coding RNA is filed under the name Salvia miltiorrhiza (redroot sage). RNAcentral describes it as "long non-coding RNA (SMIL_LNC005396)". Lineage: Eukaryota; Viridiplantae; Streptophyta; Magnoliopsida; Lamiales; Lamiaceae. The record is from RNAcentral.
UGAUUUAAAAGUGUCAUCAAUAAAUAAACAUUGCUCUCACUUCUAUGAUCCAACAAGCAAGAAAAAACUUGAAACAAACUUCGAAUAUCAUUCAAUUCCAUCAAAGCUAAUCAAAACUUGAAACAAGAAUAGCUAUGUUGCAUCUCUGGUUCUUUUCGACCCUGCCACAUCAUGUUUUUGUUACACUUGUUAAAAUAGCUAUGCUGCAUCUCAGUAGGAAAUUUGAAUUGAAACAAAAACAAGCACACAAGCCAAAGCUACACAACAAUCCACCAAACAACUUCUCUAAGAAAAAUGAAAAUCAGGCAUACGAAACCAAAAUCUGCUACUGUGCCCCCAAAUUCUGGAAUUAGAGAUGCAGUCGAGGGAGAAGGGGAAUUAGGGCUCAAGAAGGAUAAAAAAGGGGUCUUGAAGGAUUAAUGAUGGGUGUCAGGACGGCGGAGAGCCGCGACCGGAGCUGGGCAGUAGAACGACGGCGGUGUCAGGACGGCGGCGGCAGGUGGUUCCCGUCGUUCGACCGCAUGCAAGAAAAAGAAGGAUGCCGCAGCCACGCCUCUUGUAAGUGGUCGUCCGACCGAGAGAGUUGGUGGUAUUGGUGGUGAGAGAGAGAGAGGUGGGCGCUGGUUUACCUGGUAUUUGCUGCUCUGCGGAGGUGGCGCCGAUGCGAGAGGAGGCGGUAAGACGCUGGCUGUUCGGUGAUGGAGGAAGGCAGACGAGACGGCGACGAUUCUGUCCAUGAGUCGUUAGAGAAGAGAAGGAGAAGAUGUCGUUGGGCCCCGGCGGCGGCGGCCGCAGUGCUGCUGUCGUUUGGUUUAGAGAGAGAACCUUCUGAAAUUAGGGGGGGAGAUUUGGGGGGUUUUGAGUGAAGUGGUGGAAGGUAGUGGAGAUGGUGACUGCGGCGGAUUUAAGGAGAUAGAAGAAAAGGGUAGGUUUCCAGGAUUUUUUUUAUAUGAUGGUUCCGGAUCCGGGUUGGAUCGCACCAAGAUCCGCGCGCAUGGGGUGAGCGCUCAAUUUGUGAGGCGCGCAUUUAAGUUUUUGUGAUAAGAAAAAUAUAACUGCGCUUUUUUCCUUUACAAGUUUUCAGUAUUUACACUUUUAAAUUAUAUCUUAAAUGGAAGCUUAGGGUUGAAACUAGCAAAGGCAGAGUAGAAAUAUUGACAUUUUCGGAAAUAUUUAAGUUAUAUAUUGAUUCGACAUAUUCCUACUCUUGACCUAUGAAUAUGAAAUGAAAAGAAAUAGUCACUCAUUUCCACUCUUACACCAACAUGGAAUCCUAUACGAUUUGUGAGCUAUUUUACCCCCUGCCCUGGCCCCACGUGUUAUGUUUUAGGGUUGAUGGAUUAUUUGACCCCAUUUGAACUUCUCCUUAUCAUUUACUCGAUCACAUAACGAUGUGCAUUUAUUUACUAUCUAUAAAUUAUUACUUUUAUAUGUGUGUGAUAUUACAAAAACAAUAGUACAUGUGUGACUAUGCCGGUUGACUUAUUAUCAUGAAUAGAUAAGGGUGUGCAUUCAGUUAUAUGAUUCGAUUUUUGUUAAAAUUAAAUUAAAUCAUACUUUUUCCGUCACAAUCAAGAUGCUACAUAUUUUUUUUUCUGGGCUCCCAACGAAGAUGCUAUAUUUCUAAAUAUGGAAAACAUAAGAUUUUAAUUGCACAAUUAAAUUAAUUAAUCAUCUCUUAUUACUUCUCUCUCCUACAUUAUCACUUUAUUACUUUUUUCUUCCACUUUAUACUUUUAUCUACAAUUUAAAACAUAAUCUACAACUCCUUAAAUUCGUGUCGAAAAGAAAUGUAUCAUCUUAGCUGGAUAAGGGAUAUUUUUUUUCGGUUAAAAAAACAAAACAAAAUCGAACCGAAUUAACCAAAUUAAAUUAAUCAAAAUUUUUAUAAUUAAAAUAAAAUGAACCGAAAAACGAAUUAAUCCAGAAAAAAAAUUGAAAAAAUGAAAAUUCCGAAAAAAUAACUAAUACUCCCUCCGUCCCAAACGAAAUGUCCUCCUUCUUUUGGGCACGCUUAUUAAGGAGGCAUUAUCUACCUAAUCUAGUAGAAUAUUAUAGUACUCCAUCCGUCCCAACUUUUAGUAUCCAACUUUCCUUUUUUGGCCGUCCCACAUUUUGGUAUCCAUUUCUAUUUUUAGUAAAAGUAGGUGGGGCCCUUACUCCACUUUAAUUAUUUUAACUCUCACAUAAAAUGUGGGACCCUUAUUCCACUCACAACACAUCAAUCACUUUAUUAAAAUCCGUGCCGUUCUCAACUGGAUACCAAAAGCCGGGACGAAUGGAGUAUAUUUUAUCAUUAUCCAUCAUUCAUUUUAAGAACAUACAUAUAUACAUAACAACCUAAUAAUUAAAAUUUACAAUUAGGGUUAGAAGAUUAAAAAUUUAGAAGUUAGAUAUUAUAAAAUUCUAAUUAAAUAUGUUAAAAUUUAUAAUAUUUAUAUAUAUGCACUCCAAUGAGACCCCUUAAUUUUCGUGUAACAUGAAGCACGAUCUGGUGCGUUUAUUUUAUCAAUUCUAUGGCUGAUAUUGUAUCUGGAGGGAGAUUUUUUUUCGCAGGCUUCGAAUCCUGGAGGGAGCAGAAUAUUUUAAAUUUUGUUAUUCAUCAGUAUAUACUGCCUUAUUCAUCAGUAUAUAUGUCUUAUUCAUUACCAAUUUUUUAAAUUUAUUUUUCAUCAGUAUAUAUAUUUUGUUCAUUAGUAUUAUAUGUCUUAUUCAUUCUCCUCAUGUUACACGAAAAAUAGGGAGUCUCACUGGAGCGCGCUCCUAUAUAUAUAUANAUCCUGUUGCUGUCGCCGGCGAGCGGCGCCGAGAAGAGAGGGAGAUGCAUGGACUCUAGCAGGCGGCAUCGCUAGGAAAGAAGAGAGAGAUGGAGAACGAGAGAUCGAGGAUGAGAGAAGAGAGUGGAGAAAGGAAACAGUGGUUUUUUUAUAUAUAUAUCGGGUCAAAUGACCCGGUUCUCUUUGUUCGACCCGACCCAAGCCCGCGCGCAUAUUGUGAGCGCACAAUUAUAACGGCGCUCAUAUAAGUUUUUGUGAAACUCUUUUACUGUCAAUGGUUGUGUUGGUUUGUCUUAAGUUUUAAAAUAGCCUAUAGGUGUAUUUCCCCCCCCCCCAUACACCUAUUCCAGAGCUUCCGGGACCUAACAACUAGUAUUGAAAAAUUUUGUUUGUGUCAUACAAAAUACCGUAAUCAUUGACAUAGUGAUUAACAAUGGUUGAAAUCAGCGUACUGUACACUGACAGCUAAAUUGACAGGAGCCAUUUAAUUGAAAUCCUUGUAUAUUUGCGCAAAUUCAACGUGUAGAAUAGACUAAUUUGGCGCAAAAAUAUAAUUAACGCAAAAAUGUAUUUUAAAUAUUGAUUUGCGCAAUUUUCUCGUUCCUCAAUUUGUGCAAAAAUGCAAUUUACACAAAUUCGAGCACUUUUCAGAAUUUUCGCAAAAUUCCAUUAUUUCCGCAAAUUAAUUCUAGUAAUUCCGCAAUAAUUUAACAAUUCACGCAAACUUUGGAAUUCUGAAAAUUAAUAGUUCAAUUUCACGCAAUAGGAAUAAUUUGACUCAAAAUAAUAAUAAAGUUCACGCAAAAACCUUGCAAUUGUACACGCAAAAAAAGUUCCACGCAAUAAUUUCACAAUUCACGCAAAAAAAAAAAAUUAAUUUUACAAUUCACGCAUAAUACUUUCACAAUUCAAGCAAAAAUAUAAAUUUAACAAUGUAAUUGAGGCACCAUUUCAUACACAAUUCAUGCAAAAAUAUAACAAUGAAAACACAAUUUUGCGUUAAUUUUGCAUACACAUUUCACGCAAAAAUAUAAAAUUGAAAUUAGUACAACACAUAUUAAUACAAGUCUGAAAUGUGUGUUGGUGAAUUUACGCAACAAUGUUCAAUUCACGCAAAAAUUGACAAAUUAUACAUAUCACGCAAAAAUGUAAAUUUAAUGUAAAUAAAUUCGGUCAACAUAAAUAAAGCAUAUUCAAACUGACAAAUUCAGAAGCACAAAUAUUUAGGGCACAGAUGCUUGUACCAAAUAUUAAUAAAAAAAUGAAAUAGUUAUGAGAGGUAUUGAAUUUAAAAAGUGGGUAUUGUGUGAAUAUAAUUUGAGAAAGUUAGGUACUUUCAUAUAUUACCACAUAAUUAUAGAUUAAAAAUAUAAGUAAGCACUGUUGAUGUUAUGAGAUUAAAAUAAAAAAUAAAACUGAAAAUGUAUUAUAUGUGUCUAUAUAAGUAUAACUAUGUUAAAAAAAAUUAUCGAUCAAAAAAUAAAUAUAUGACUUUAAGUUAUUUAAAAUAUUUAAAUGAUAAAAUAUGAUAAUUAUAUAUAUAUAUAUAUAUAUAUAUAUAUAUAUAUAUAGUGUGNNNNNNNNNNNNNNNNNNUCCUACUACUAUAUAUAUAUAUAUAUAUAUAUAUAUAUAUAUGUAAUAUAUAUAUAUGUGUUAUCAGUUUAAUAUUAGAACCUCACAAUAAAUUUAAGUAGUCAUUUAUUUACGUUGUCGAAAUGUAUUUGUUGAAGUUUAUUUUGAGCCGAUUCUUGAUUGAAAAAGAUAAUGACUUGAAUUGUAUAUAUACCAAUAGUUGAAAUAAAGUAACUAACUAUCCUUAAUAUUAAUAUGUAUUUAAAUGGAGUGAUUAUGAGAUUUUAUAUAAAAAUAUAAAAAAAGUAUAUUUUUAUUGUAUUUAUAAUUUUUUAUAUAAUAAUUGAGUUAAUAUCUAUUUUAUAUAUAAAAAGAAGGGUAAAUAUCUGUUUCUGACUUAUUGGUUGGGCAUUUUCUCAAAAAUGUCCUACCCUAAAGAUAAUUACAAAAUCAUACCAUCGUUCCAUUUUUUUCCUUGUUUAUGGCCUGCAAAAAUAAUUCGACGAUCGAUAUUUGACAUAACCAAUUGUCACGUUGUUAGUACACGUGUAAUACUAAUAAUAUAAAAAAACAACAUAAAUUCCACAUAGAAAAAACGCAUCUAUACGUAAAGGAAUAGACUUGAACACACAAAAACGUUUUCUCAAGAGAACCCUAUCACUGGCGGAUCUAGCAUGGUGCAUGGGGGUGCAACUGCAUCCCAAAAAAAAAAAAUUAAUAGUAUUAAUAUUCAUAUAUAAAUUAUUUUAUAUUUAAGGUUUGCACCCCAAAUAAAAGUUUUAAUCCUAAAUUCAGUUUUUAAAAUCCUAAAUUCCAUUGGCCCAACUAAAAAGAGAGCCAAUCAUCUCUUUCUUUUUCAUUCUUUUGAUCGAGCCCAUCAGUUAAUCAAUCCUUUACCUCAAUUCUUAAUUAAAUAAAAAAAAUUGAACCUACAUAUUUUGUAUUUGGAAUGCAGAGUUAUUACUAAUUGUAUUUGUAUUUUAGUAAAAAAAAAAACAAAAAAUGUCUAAAAUGUACUGAAGGCCUAAAAAAAAAAUCCCGGGGGCUACCGCCCCCGAACCCCCGUAAAAGUUCAACCCCCUCAAAAAAAUCCUAGAUCCGUCAGUAUUUAUAAGAUUAUUUUUUGCACCCCCAGUUUUUUAAUCUUGGAUCCGCCACUGAACCCUAUUACCAUUCCACCUACUAAGAAUCUCAAUCGUUCUAAAGUAUUCCUCAUUCACCUGUAGAUAUUUAAUGAACACUAGUAACUAACAUUGGCAUAAUGAAACAUUGACAUAUUAUAUGAGUUUGGAGAUGAAAUAUAUAAUCAAUAAAAUAGGGUUGUAGGAGUUGCACUAACAAAACCCUGAAUUACCUCACCAUCAACUAUUAUCUCAAUCAUCCUUGGCAACAUAAUGUUGUUCUUGAAAAAUUUAGCCAGUUUUGAUUCAAUUGCCUGAUAAAUUGCAUGAACAAGAACUUAAUGAAAUCUACUGUAGGGGCAUGUCGAGGCCCGUCGUCAAGACCUCAGGUAAAAUGAUAUUUGUAAUUUAUUGUGCGCUGCAAUCAAAAUCAGUUAAUGGCAAGUAUAAGGUCGAACCCGCAAAGAGUCGGUGUAUCUUGGUACUCCGUAUCACAAAAGUUGAUGGAAUGCACUUUGGUCUAAGUGUCAGGAUUAUGGUCUAGAACAUAAUGUACACUUUGAUUGUAUAUGAAAAACUGAAAUAAAACACAACAAAAUAUCAAUAAUAAACGAAACAUGGUUUGAGCAUAGUCUAGUUAGGUAUGGGUGUAUUUUCGAUCAUCGGUUCAAGGAUAUUCACAGCGCCUUCAUGUCAUUGGUUAUGAGCCGUUUGAUUAGUGGGAUGUGCCCCCAUUGUCACAUUAUCACGAACACAAGCUUAAUCAACCCUUAUCCGCGCCCUUCGUAUUGGGUGAAAGUGGUCUACUUUCAUCCCUCUGCCUUGGUAGAUUCCCUGCAUCAAAACUUGAGUUUGCGGGUAUGCCCAGAACGCAUUACUAAGUAGCAUACUCAAAUGGUCACAGGCAUGCUCAGAGGCAUACUACCACCGCCCGCAUCAGCCACACUUCACGGAAUGGGAGAUCUCCACACUUUUGCCUGCGUACUGUUUGUAACUUGGUUUUGCCCAAUCACAAUUGAUUUUACCAUCUGGGCAAAAUUCACAAUUGAUCUUAAUUCUUAAGCAAUCACAAUUGAUUUUACCAUCUGGAAAAAUUUCACAAUUGACAAAAUUCAAAUCUUAAUUCUUAGAAUUUUGACCAAGAAGAGGUUAGGUUUGUCUUAGCUUACAUUAUCGUUGAUGAGCAUCCAUUUAAGUAUGUCGAAAGAGAGGGAUUUCAAUACUUUGUUUCUAAGGCUUGCCCAAGAUUUAAGAUCCCAUCUAGAUGUACCGUUUCACAUGAUUGCUUUAAGUUGUAUGAGAAUGAAAAGAAUUUGUUUAUGACAAUACUAAAAUCCACCAACCAAAGGGUUUGUCUUACCACAGAUACAUGGACAUCUACUAAGAAAGAGAAUUACAUGUGUUUGACUGAUAAUGAUUGGAAACUGCAUAAAAAGAUUAUUAAUUUUUGUCUAAGUUCUAGUCACAGAGGUAGAGACAUUGGUUGGAAAUUUGAAAAAUGCUUGCAUGAUUGGGGAUUGGAGAGGGUGUUCACUAUUACAGUUGAUAAUGCUUCCUCAAAUGAUGUUACAAUUGGUUAUUUGAAAGAAAUUGUUAGUCAAUAGGAGGAAAAACAUUAGAAACUGUGAUCAUAUGCAUAUGAGAUGUAUUGCUCAUGUAUUUAAUUUAGUGGUGCAAGGUGAUCUUAAAUAGAUUGGAUCUUCUGUGAAAAAAAAUUAGAAAUGUUGUUCGGUUUGUUAGACAUUCUGGUGCUAGAUUGCUUAUGUUCAAGGAAUAUUGUGAGCUGGAAAAAAAAUUUAAGUAAGAGUUUGUUGUGUUUAGAUGUUCCUAUUAGAUGGAACUCGACAUACUUGAUGUUGAAGGCUGCAAUAACAUUUGAGAAAGCAUUUGCUAGAUUUGAUGUGUUAUACCCGACAUAUGGAAUUGAUCUUGUAUGUUAGGAGGGGGUACCUAACAAAGCUGAUUGGGUGAAAGCAAGAAAGAUGCUCAAUUUUUUUGACAUUUUAUCAUGAUGGAAAACGAAUGAAUCUAAAUAUCCCGUUCUCUCCAAAGUGGCUCGUGAUGUUUUGGCAGUACCUGUCUCAACUGUAGCGUCAGAGGCAGCAUUUAGCACUGGAGGAUGAGUACUUGACCCAUUUAGGAGUUUGUUAAGUCCUAAAGUUGUGGAGUUUCUCAUUUGUGGUCAAGAUUGGCUUCACAACUCCUACCCCAAUUGAUGUUGAGGAACUUUAUGAAGAUGUCCAAAAAAUUGAACAAAGUAUAUGACUAUUUAAACUACAUUUUUUUAUAUGUUUUCAAAUUUACGAUUCUCAAUUAAUUUGUAUUAUUGUUAUGUAUAAUUCUAUUUUUUUUAUUAUUUGUGAGUAUGCAAAUUUGAUAGUGCAAGCUCCAACAAAUUAAUCAAUCUCCAUUAAUUGUUGGAACUUGAAAGCUAUUGAAGAUGAUUAGAUGAAUGUUUAUUGAUUUUGAGUUUUGUUAACAUUGAAAGUUUGGACUCUUUUUUUUGUAGUUUGAUGGUAAUUUGUUGUUGAUUUGAUGGAUAUUUAGAAACUCUUUGGUUUGUUGGUUAUGGAUGUUCUUGUAUUUAUUUUGGUGGAUGUGAUGAAUGGAUUUAAUACUUAUGCAAAUCAUAAUUAUUAGGUUGUUAUAUAUACAUCUUUGUUCUUGAAAUGAAUGAUGAAUAAUGAUAAAAUAUAGUAUAAUAUAAUUUUGAGCAGAUUUUUUUUUAUAUAUAAUUUUUUUCGGUUUUCUUAGAAUUUUUGAUUUUUUUCAGUUUUGUUUUUCGAUUUUUUCGAUUUUUUCAGAUUAAUUCGGUUUUUCAGUUCGAUUCGAUUUUAAUUUUAAAAGUUUCGGUUAAUUCGGUUCGGUUUAUUCGAUUUGGUUUGAUUUUUUUAAACCAAACAUUAAUUUGAUUUGAUUUGGUUUUAGCAAAAAUCAAACCAUAUAACCGAAUGCACAUCCCUAGUCCUUAUCCCUUGUAUAACUGCUGCAAUCUAGUCCUGAAAACUGCCAAUCAGUCUGCAUAAUGCUGGUUGAGAUCAUGCUUCUGAAAAGUAGGAACAAACUAGCCCACUAUCUUUAGGCCAUGAUAAAACCAACUUCCAUUUAUUCGAACGUGACCAACUCCACAAGACACAUUAUUCAUGCACUAAAGAAUAUGAAAACAUAAAAGAUAGGGAAAGAUAAAAUACGUGCAAUUACUACUAGUGAGUUGAAGUACAACUUCAAGACAGACACCCGAAAUAUUAGUUGUAUAUCGAAAAUGUUAAUAACAAAAUGUUAUCAAUAUUUCAUUAAACACUGAUGGAGCCAACAUUGACUCUAACAAAAACAUUAUUCAAAUACACAUUUCCAUGAAAUCUAGAUUAACAGCAACCCCAUAAAUCAACUUCGCCUUCUCGACGCCAGAAGUCAUGAUGCACAUUUUAAUGAUGAAUGUGAACGUCAUUUUAUUCACGCCAAUACCUUGAAAAAUCAUCAAAUUGUUAACCUAAAUCGCUCAUUAAUGUGUGUUCUGAUUAACAGAUUCCAAAUGAACGUGGACAUAUAUAUUAUCAAUAUGUUGGAACAUUAGGGCGGUGUAAUUGAACUCCCAAUAUAAAGUACAAAGGCGAAUCAAUCUGGCGACUAUUACUUGGUCGUUGUGGAGAAUGUUGUGGGUGAUUUUGGCGUGGAUUUGUCAUGCGAAAUUUGGGUUUUUAACUCAAUGCGAAAUUUAUCCUGUAAAAAGAUUGAGUUUUUGGAAAUAAAAUAUCUAGUGUGAUAUUGUUUUAUUCAGUAAAAAACAAAGUUUUAUUGGUGGUGGGAUGUUGAGUCCACCUAGACAAAUUCUGACUUCCACGUCAAUUUUAAAUUUGAGAAUUUAAUUUCAUAGAAAAAUCAUAAUAAAUUGAACUUUUAUAUAUUACUAGCAUUUGCAUCCCGUGCAAUGCACGGGAAAAUAUUUUUUAUUUUUUAUAUUUAUAUAAAAAUUAAUACUAAUUUAAUUAUCAUACUCAUAAAUAUAAUAAAAUUUAAUUUUAACUAAAUAUAUUUGAAUUGAAUAUUAAAAAAUUUAAAAAUAAUAAGAAUUUACAAUUAUAAAAUUUGAUAUUAUGAAAGCAAAAAAAGUAAAAAAUAAAAAAAAUACUAAUAAAAAAUUAAAAAUAUAUUUUUUUUCAAAAAGAUGAGAAAUGCGAGAGAAAAUUAUAAAAUUUUAAUAUUUAAACAAAUUUAAUUUUUACAUUUAAAUCAAAUAUUUACAUAAAACAUAUCAAAUUAAAGCUCUUAUCGUGAUCUUUAAUUUGAUAUGCAUAUUAAAUAUUUUAUAAUUAAUCGAAUUUCACAAUUUUGGUAAGAAAUAAAACAACAAAUAAUAAGUUAAAGAGAUGAAAAAUAAAAAGAAAAAUAUAGUUUAAACAUAAACCUUUAAUUUUAUUAUAACUAAUUUUUNNNNNNNNNNNNNNNNNNNNNNNNNNNNNNNNNNNNNNNNNNNNNNNNNNNNNNNNNNNNNNNNNNNNNNNNNNNNNNNNNNNNNNNNNNNNNNNNNNNNNNNNNNNNNNNNNNNNNNNNNNNNNNNNNNNNNNNNNNNNNNNNNNNNNNNNNNNNNNNNNNNNNNNNNNNNNNNNNNNNNNNNNNNNNNNNACUAAUAUCCCUUAAAUUAUGAACAUUGAUGUUAGCACUUAGCACACCGUGCGUUUACUCGAAUAAAAUACACGAGACACCAAAAUCUCCACAUAUUCCGCAACUAAAACACUAUAAAUUAGUGAAACGUAACAAUUAUUAUCUCUUAUCUAAAAUGAAAAACAAAACAAAGAUCUAGAAGGCCGGUCGGUCAAACCUCAAACUGUUACUCGGAAAUAGUUUGUGAAGUCCAAGUAAUUUUUAGGAAUGUUCACAUUAUGGAUGCACAAUUAUGAUAAAAUAAAUAAAGAUUAUAGAUUUAUCCAAUUUAAAUAAUAAAAGUCAUCAAUAUAUUCAAUUGAGAAUGAUUUAAUAAUAAAAUGAAUAUCUAUAAAUUUAAAGGUCUUGAAUUUAAACACUUUUACAUAUUCAAGCUUAUAAUAUCGAUUUUAAAAAUAAUUUACCCGUCUUGUAUAAUUUACAGACUAUUACACAUAUGUGGUUCAGUCAACACGCCAAAAAUAGUGGUUGCAGUUUCCUUAAAAAUAAAAAGAAAUCUCAAAUCUCAAUUCCUUGUGUUUUAAUUUGAUUUUAUAUUUUACAGUUAUUAGAAUGGCAAAUGCAUGUAUCCAUUAAUUUAUUGAGUAAAUUAAAUGUAUAAAUAUUUUUAUACAUAUAGUGGCCUGGUGGAAUAAGAGAAAAAUGUUUAGAGCUCCUCUAUCUUUUUUAUAUUUAUAUGAGAUGGAUUAUUAUAUACAAAUUCAUAGGAUUUGCUUUCAUAUUCGUGGCCGAAGGCUCGAAGCCUACCCCGACCUCCGCCACUACAUAUACAUUUAUUUUGUUUAAAUGAUGAAAACAAAUUAUGCUAUUGUCAAUUCAAGUCAAGUUUGUUUCGGUUCUAUCUCACAAAAGUAGCUAGAAAUUAUGGAUCAAGUAUAACCUUUUAAAUAAUAAUCUUGAAGAUAGAUUUUAUGUGACAAUAUUAAAUCCAACUCGAACUCGAUGAUAGUAAUAACUAAUAAAAGAACAUAAAAUGAUCAAUUUACUAGAUUUUGGUUCAAAUGUGGCUCAAUUAAACAUCAAUUUUAAUUUUACCAAAUAAAUUCAAUUUUGAUAAAAUUGAACAAAUCUAAUAGUAGUAAAAUUAAAACCACACUAUAUAUAAUCCGUUCGGUUCAAUCCAUUUAAUAAAGUGAAAUAACAUACUCGUAUAUGUAAACUUUGGCGCUUAGUCUUGACAGAUAAAAGUAACAAGAUUAAUCUUUUGCUUAUUUUAAUGAAUUGAAAUUUUGAAUAUUUCAAAAAUUUUGAUUAUUUUUAUUAUUUAAAUUAAUUUUAUUUGAUUCAUAUCUUAUUAAAAAAAUAAAUUAAAAAAAGGUAUAAUAAUCAAGUUCAAUCGUACAAAGCAAAUGUCUUGUGCCCCUCUGAUCGAAGAAACACACACAAGAGAAAUUUAUUCCGAAAUCAUGCAUAUAUUGUGGCAGGCACAUAUCCGUCUCUAUAUAUGUAAGCAAUAUUCUUGAUUAGUGGAUAUGAAUAGUUGCACAUGAAGCCAACUAUUGUCUCUCAAAGUCAAAGCCAACAACAGCCAAACAAAAUUUUCGUCAAACCUAAACCAAUAAUCUCGCAAUAUUAACAACCAUUAAUUUAAAAAAUAAAAUAAAAAAUGGCAAAAAGAAGAAGCAAUUCUCUCAUUAGCUGACACCAAACCAGUGCAACACCGACUAUAAACCAGUGUCAUCAUAAUUGAUAAUGCUAUAAAAUAGGAGGAGAGAGAAAGAGGAGAGAGAAGCAGGGGAGGGUCUGCAAAGCAACCUCUCUUCUUUGGAUCUCUCAAUUGUUUUAAUAUAUCAUAGUUGAUUUCAAUAGGUACAGGUAUUUGAUUCAGGAGAGAAAAACAUAAAAAAAGAAAAGAAAAGAAAAAGUGGGUAUUUUCUAUUGUAAUUUGCUGGCCCAUUUUGUUUGUCUUAUAUGUUCUCAAUUUUCUUGAAAAGGUGAUUGAUUUAGGAUCCCUUUUUUGUGUAGUAGUCAAUUUUCUUUUUUCUUUUUAAUUCUUGGUUUGUUUCUUUGAGAAAAAAGUUAUGAGCCAAGUUCGUGCAAAUUCAUCUCCUGACUUGGAUUUUCCCAGUACAGGAAAGGAUCAAAGAUAUGAUGAUUUGGCAUUACAAGGUACAAAUCUUGAUUUUUCUUACGUUGUAGUAAAUGAAAUUUUUUAUUUUUGUUUCUCAAUUUGUUUCAUUAUAUGUCAUGUUGUAAAGUUAUGGCAAUUUCAAUUUGAGAUAUGGAAUUAUGUUGUUUUUAUUGUUCUUGCGCGCGCUCUCUCUCUUUAUCUCUCUGCAAAUCUUGAUGUACAACGUUGUAUUAGGCUUGAUUGUGUUGUUAUUUUGUUUUUCCUUAUUUUUUUUAUUUUUUUCAGACGUAGUAAUAAUCUUGAAUUCAUUUUUAAUUUGAUGUUGCAAAGUUGUGGGUAAUUUUAGUUUAAAUAAGCAAUUCUCUCGUAUUUUUUUGUUUUGCUAUGUUUUUGUUGUUCUCAAUCUAAUGAUAUCGGAAUGAAAUCUUGAUUCUUAGGGAGAAAAAAAAAAAGACAAUUCAUGAAAGUGAUGAACUAUUCAAGUGUUUGAUUGAUGGAUGUUAAAAAAAUUGAAUUGAUAUUUCAGGGGUAGCUGCAAAUGUAAAAUUACUGCUAAAACUAAUCCAAGAUCAUCAAUUAGCCUGUGAUCAUGACAAAAGUGAUCAUAGGAGAAUGUUGAGGGUAGCUACAAUGAUGACAAUUUUGGAUAAUGCGAAGGACAGAAUCCAGAAAUGCCAAUCAUUUGGCCUCAAGAAACCGGAUUCCGAGCUGAGGAGGUGCAACACCGACUUGCGCCGCAAUCCCGUCCCUCCGGGCAAAAAGCCCAGUGGUGGGGCGGGGGCGGUGGCCGUGGUGAUCGAGGAGGAGGAGGUGGACGAGGAGAAGGAGCGGUUGAGGCGCGAGCUGAGCUCGAGCAUAGCCGCUCAGAGAAACCUCAGAGCGAUGUGCUCGAGUUUAGGGAAGGAGAAGAAGUUCAUGGAGGCAGAGCUUUCCAAGAAAGUGCAUGAAUUGAGUGAGAUGGAGGAGCUUUUGAACAAUCUCAAGGCACAAAAUGAGACAUUGCGCCAAAAAGUUCAAGAAUGCCUCUCCGAUCACAAGGAGAGGAAGGCCGGUGGUGGUGGCGGAGAAAUGAGCGUGGCGUUGGUGUUGCAAGAGCGGAACAAGGCGCUCUCGGAGCAGUUGAUGAGGUCUCUUGAUGGUUAUAGAUCGAUGAAGAGGAAGCUCAAAGUGGCGCAAGAAGAGAAUACUAUGCUGCAUUCGACUGUGGAUGAGGUUGGGGCCAAAGUUGUGGGAAGUUUGGAGAGGGUUAAGAGUUUGAAGCAACGAGUGACCACGACGACAUCUCCUUCUGGGGGCGAAAUCCCCCUCGAUCUUCAGGAGGAGAUCGAGGGGUUAGAGGGCAUGUUUGAGUGCUUCCAAAUGUUGGUGGAGAAGCACGAGAAGAGGCGGGGCGACUGCGCGCAACCAAAUGGCGAGAUCAAUGCAUAUAAGCCCUCCGUUCUCGCAUGAGACUGGACCAAAGGAUUUUGGAGGGACUAACUUGAAUUUUUGUUGCUAGUAUUUUUGAUUUUUUGCUUUGGAUUAGUUUCUUUUUUGAUGCGAUGGCAUUGUUUGAAGAUGUGAUAUUGUCUUCAUUGUGUGUGAAAAAAAUAGCUGAUGAUUUCUAUAGGUCAUUAGCAUGUAAAUAGUUGUAUCAUAGUCUUCUUGUUUGAAGGCAACCUACAAAACAUUGGUUUUCUAGUAUAGAACAUUUUUAAGUGAAUGUGAUGCUAUGUUGCUGCUGGAAACUUUCGUGAUGAAAUAUUGCAAUCAUCAAGAAAAUCAUGUUUACGAUGUUUUAUGUAUUGGAGAUGCUCACUGAGUAAAUUAAUUUUAACAAAGAAAAGAGAGAAAAACAUCAAUGUUUAGAGUUUUUAUGUUUUUUUUAGUAAUUGAACGAGUUGCAUUGCUAUUCAAUCUAAUACUAUCUAAUUGGACAUCGAUAAAAAGAAUGCAUUUCAUGCGCAAGACAUUACUCACUAUAUAGAUUGGAGUUAAUCAUGAUUACUAGGAAUGACCAUUACCAAUAUAAAGUAGUGAAAACUAUCAAUCAAAGAGUUCCCAUUGGUUUGCAGAAGGAGAUGGUUCAAAUGUUUCCCAUGUAGUUGUCACAACCGAAGCUGGUACUUUCUGCUUCGCGUUUAGUACCUUCAGCACAUCCAGUUUUUCCACACACUUCUGCACUAUUUUUCCCUGCAAUAUAAUUAUUUUAUUUUAUUUUAAUUUAAUUUGCUCUUACCUUAUUUUUCAUAUAAAUCUGCAUUAGAGGUUUUUACAAUAAGAUAGUUAACUUUGUAAUUAAAAACCUAAAGUUUGUGCGAACUUAACUAUCAAAGUGUGACAAUCGAUAAAUAUAUAGGGGAUGGUCAAAACAUUAAUUCUUGCAUCAAAUGUCAACCGGAUAUAAUAAUAGGAAUGGUUACAGUUUAAUAGUAUUCAAACUAUGGACUAAUUGUGUAUAAUUUUAGUUAAAUAUUCCAACUAAUUGAUCUUGUAAUGAGAAUAUUCCAAACUAUACAUAAUUGUAAUUAAAUACUCGUACUAUCACAAAAUUAACAAAAAUACCCCAAAAUUCAAUCUUCAAUCACUUCACAGUUCGUUAGAUCAUGAUGUGGAUUUUAAAAAAUAAAUUAAAAAUGAGCUAGAUCAAAAGUCAAAACAACGUUACGCUGCUUUAGUGCAUAGAAGUUACAUAUAAAAGAAAUUGAACGAGCCAAGUAAUCUUUUCGCAACUGAAAAUUGAAUAUUUCUGUUAAUUUAUUUAGUGAUACUUUGGAUAUUUAAUACUGGUUAUGCUACGUUCAUAAAAAAUAUAAGAAUAAAGUGUGGUUUCGUGUCCUAAAACAAAAAACCAUAUACUCUUCCUAGAUAUCCAAUAAGGUAAUUGCGCCACACUAUUAAUGAACGAUGGAGUGAGUAAUAGUAAUUCAAGACAUUUUUGUGAAAAUAUCAAAAAAAUCGAAUACUACUUAACUACAUUAACGAGCAUGACAUUAUUGAAUACUUCAUCCAUCCCAUUUUAUUUGAUUUAGUUCUUUUGAAUACGAUUAUUUAAAAAAAUAAAAUUAUUAUAUGAAAAGUAUAUGAUUUAAUAGUAUUUAAUAUAAUAUUAAUUGAUUUUUUGAAAAAAAGAAAAAGAUAAAAUCAAACGAGACGGUUUAGAAAAAAAAAUAAGAAGUGUAAUUAAAUAGGAUGGACUAGGUAAGAAUUGAGAUGAAGAAAUGUAAAAGGAAGGGAUAAGGAUAAGCAUACUUGUGAGUCCUUGUAUGCACAUGCAUCAGCAGCCUCGGCAGCAGGAAUGUUAUCUAGUUUGACAGCUUGUUGCAUCAGCAUCUCGAUCAACGUUGUGAUCUGUAAUUCUGCUACUCUUUUCCCAUUUGCAAUUGAUUUCUCUAUUACACUUACCUAUAAUCCAAUGGAGAUAUCAAUUAUUUUAUUAAUUAAUGAUCUACAUGAUGGAUAUAUUUCUUCAAUGUACUAUAAAAGAUAAGGGGAAUAUUAUACUUUAUGACUUCAUCAUUUGGGUAAGUUUAAACAUAAUAUGACAUUUAACAUCUUUAAUAAAAUUAUACUAAUAAAGUCCUCAAUAAAACAUCAAGCGAUACGAACUUUUAUGUGUGAACAAUAAAAUUUAGGGUUCAAACUCCAUCGUUUCCCCUUCUCCAAGUAUAAAUAAAAUAAAAUUAUAAUAAUUAAUAAAACUCUAGUUUAAGUGAUAAAGUUGAGGUAUCAAAAUUUUCUUUUUGUAAAAAAUUAUUGAAUCAAGUUUCAUAAAUAUUGUGUAAAUUAUAUUUAUGGAUAGUAUUUUUAAGUAUUUAUUUAUUUAUUUAUUUAUUCUAGUUUAUACUAGUUUAAUUGUUGAUUUGACUACAGUACUAGCUUAUUCAAUUCAUUGUUAUUUAUAUUCAAUUUCAUAAUAUAAUAAUAUACUAUGUCAUUUUUGAAAAAAUGCCAAACUAGGAUUCAUAUAUUUUUUUAGAGUAAUGCUAAACAGCCACAUUAUGGCCACCCACAAUUUAUAUAAAUAAAAAAUAAUUUAAUUUAUUUAAUUUAUUUUUUUAAAGAAAAAUAAGAUUUAUUUUAUUAUAUUCUCUACACUGUAGUUAUUUUUUGCAAUUUUUUGGUAACUUUUUUAUUUUUAUUAAAAAAUAAAUUAAAUAAAUUAAGAUUUUUCUUAUUAUACUAGUGUGUGAGUGGCCAGAAUGUGGCUACAUAGAUUUAUUGAUUUUUUUAAUAGAUCAUUAAUUAUUUGUUAACUAAACCACCUAAAAGAAGCAUUUUCAUGAUUGAGAUGGAUUGAUUAUACUAUCAUCUUCUCUCUUUUUCGAUAAACAAAUAAUCUUAAAGAUCGUAUGACGAUUAGGUAUCACACACAAAGCUCUAAAUUUUCCUUCUUUUAAAAUUGCCGCCCCUGAAGAUCGCCUUCUCCGUCACCGCACAGUUGCAUCUAAAGGUCGCCGCCACCUUCAUCCACGAGGAAAGAAUGAUGACCUUCUGUAGAAACGAGGCCUUAAUAUGUGUGCCAACUGGGUCAUAAACCCUAAAAUUCCCAGAUCUAGCAACAACGAGGAAAGAGAGACAAGAUGUGGCGGGUAGAGAGAGGGGAGGUGGUGCAAAAGAAUAGAGGGAAAGAGAAGAGGUUGUGAUCGACUGUCGAUGCGGUGGUGGGAGGUGAGGCAUGAGAGAAAGGGAAGUUGGAAUGAGAGAUAGGAUAGGAUUUAGGUUUAAAUAUGUAACGUAAUUAAGUUCUAAUUAUAUCAGUAAAUAGACCAUUAUAUUUAGGACAAUACAAUAAAGAAUACAUGUUAUCAAUAUUGAGAUGAAGGGAACACUAUUUUAUCGUACACUGCUCUAGUUGUCAUUACGUGUAAAUUAAUUAAUUGUACUCUUGCUAUCAAGUUAGAAGAAAAACAAGUAUUUAUUUUCUCUGCAGGCCACAAGACUUCGAAACGGAUGUUAAGAAAUAAAUAUUUAUAUUAAAAUAGGAGUUUUUUUAGGAUAUAUUUAUCAAAAAAAGUGAGAGAAUUGAAGAUAUCUUUUUAAAAUGAGAAGAGGGAUAAUUAUGUGUGAACCACAAUAUCAUAUGAUAUAAAUAAUAAAUUAUGCAAGACUAUCUGUUAUGUAUUAAUUUUUCAUUUUAUAAAAUGACUUAUUAAAAUAAGACGUUUAAAUAAUAAAAUAUAGCCUAUUGUAUUGGUUUGGUCCAAAGAAUUAUAAAACUAGAUAGUCAAAACUCAAAAGUAAUAAACUAAAUUAGCCACCAAUUUAAUUAACAGCUGUUACAGGUUGUUUAAUUUAAUUUUACCAAACCGACCCUAUAUUAAAUCACUACAGUUGACAGCUAAACGUUGCAGUACUAAUAGCUUUGUCACCUACUACAGGUCCAUCUUUUUUCUAUUAUUAAAUAAAAAAAUAGUUAUACCAAAAUUCGAAAAAUGUCAGGUAUAAUCUAUGCUUUUUUGACAAUAAAUCUACCAGGACACAUUUAUUUGACAGAAAAACAAUAUUAAAUAAAAAUGUAAUUUUAGAAAAUUAAUUUAUCAGAAGAAAUAAUAGAUUUCUUAUGCUACAUUUGCAAAUAUCAAAAAAACUAUUAUGAUUCUAAUUUUUUAUUAAUUAAUUAAAUAUAAUUUAUCAAUAUAUAUAUAUAUAUAUAAUUAAAUUGUAAUUAAUUAGCAUGCAAUAAAAAAUUAGUAAAAUUAAAUUGAGAUUUGCUUAAUAAUAAUAAUAAUAAUAAUAAUAAUAAUAAUAAUAAUAAUAAUAAUAAUAAUAAUAAAUGUAUAAGAAACAACUUAAAACAACUAAAUAGAAACUAUAGUUUGUAUUUCAAAAAAGUAAUAAAAAUAAUAUUCAAGCAUGUAAGAAGAAUGUGAAAAAACAAAAAAGAAUACCUAAACUAUGUUAGGAAUAACAUUCUUAGAAAGUUGUAGUACUAUUUUUCCUCUUAUAAUGAUUCUUAUUAUUUCCAUUGUUUGAUAGAAAUCAACCAAACACAUGAAUUUAAAAUUAUGAAAUUAGAUUAAAUGCCAGAGUACAUGUCAAACAAACGAAUUUAUAUACUCACGAAGCUUAUUAUACAAAAAAAAUAAAAACAGAUUAACGAAAUUAUAUUUAUUAUUCAUUUACUUUCGAAUUACUAUCGUAUUUAUAGAACAUACUAUCGUAUAAAACAAAUUAACGAAAUUAUAUUGAACAUACUAUCAUAGAACAUGUCAACACACAUGACACAUCUACGUAUCAUUAUCAAUAAAAUAUAAUAGUAUUAAAUUUAUUUACUUUCGAAUUCCUAUCGAAUUCAUAGAACAUAAAUAUUUGUUUGCUAGUAUAGCAUCUACGAGACUUUAUUAAUGGAUAUUGCAUUCAUGCAACAUAAUGAAGGACAAAAUUGUAAAUUUAACUAACCUGCUCCACCAGCCUAUCGAUUUCCGUGGACACGUCGUCGAUCAGCCGUUGGAUCGUCUCGAUCUUGGCCUUCCGCCUCAUCUCGACCAUCCGCCGCUCCUUGCUCUCUGGAUCGUCGAUUAAGACGACUUUCGACCGAUCUUUGACCCCGCACGUGUCUAAAUAGUCGCCAUUUUCCCUCUCUUUCCCUCUGAAGAUCAGCCGCUGCUCCGCCGGCUGCAGCCCCGUCUCCGCCGUCAGCAGCGUCUUCAGCUCGCCUUUCCAAAUAAAAUUAAAAAUUCACCACAAUCAAACCAGAAAUUCAAUCCACAUUAUUAUUUUCUAUCACAAUUGAGAUAGAAAGAGAGAAUUAACCGAAAGUGGUUUGUGCAUUGACCGAGAUCUGACACAAAAUGGCGCCGUAUACCACUCUAAUGCGCAGAUUCGGCGUUGCGAGGUUUCCAGAAGCACUCUCGCUCCUCUUCUGCACCAGCAUUCCUCCCGGCCGCAUUUCCCACUCAACCGCCUCCGCCGCCGAAGAGGAGGACGAGGACGUCGUAGUAGCUGACUCCGCCGCCUCGCUGCGGCGGAACCUGCGCUUCAUCAUCUCCGGAAUCCUCAUGCAGAUAAAAGCACAGAAACUCGAAGAAAACUGAUCUGGAUCGAGCUUGUGUUGAUAAUGUGUGGUACCUCCACUCGAUCGAGGUAGAAGAUUACGAGGCGUAUGUUGGUGGAGCAGAAAUAACGAAAAUGGAUGGGAAUUGGAGCGAAUAGGAGAGCGCCACCAUUGAUGAAGAAAAACGGUUGAGUUGCAGUGACAGCUAAAGGAGGGUUGCCGACAAUUGAAGGGAAAUAUCGUUUUUCUGAAAAAAUAAUUGAAUGUGUAAUGUUGGUUGCUUUUGAUGGAGAUGAGGAUUUUGAAUGGGCCACUUGGACUCUUAUUAUUGGGGAUUCUUUUGGUGUAGGCCCAACCCAAACAUUUGUAUGUUUUUACUUUGUCGGUUUUUUUUUUAAAUAUUCAUUGAUGAAAGAUGGGAAAUAACUAAUUAUGCCGUGAAACUGCAAAAAUUUUAUAUAUGUCUUGCCUAAUUGUAGAGUGGUUCAUAUUCAAAUUAUUGUUAUACAAUUUAUAAAAUUAUUUGUCUAUUCAUGGGAAAAAAAAUUGUACUUAGUAUUUUCAGUACAAGUAGCUGGACUUGUAAUUUAGAUAACAAUUUUCUCUCAAAUAUGUUAUGGUCUAUUAGACAAUGCAUCAACGUUUAUUAUUAUAUUUUGGAAAUAAAAUAAAAUGAUGAACCCCAUCUUUGAAGGAGAUCAGGAGACAAAUUGUCAAACAUGCAGAAAUGAUUUAGGCUCUAAAACACUAUAUUUACAUUUCCAUCGUUAAAACGUAUCUCUUUAUAGUGAAAGCUAGUUUAGUGUAUUGCGAAUUAAAGCACAAAAUAAUUACAAAAAGUAAGAAAAACAUAUGAAAAUUAGUUACGGAUUUCACACUAUAGUUUUCAGAUACAAUUAUAGGAAAUAAUUAAUAUGGGUAUUUAUAAUGAAAAACAGCCCUAAAUUCGAUCCGGCCUAAAUUGAUACUCCCUCCGUCUUUAUAAAAAAUAUAAUAGACCCAAUCAAUCCCUAAUCGCUGCUAGUGUGACAGAAUCCACAGUACUUUCAAGCUUUAUAACUCGACAUAGCAUAAAAUAAAUUUACUUAGAAAUCAAUUUAGUGGAAGACUGUUAGAAAUGGAUAUUGGGCUCAUUCCUCCCUUAAAAGGCCUUGUAAGGGAGAGGGUUGCCUCACCAUAUAAAGUGGCUCAUGCCACUAUCUCCAAUCCAAUGUGGAACACUUCAAUACACCCCCCGCACGCGCAGCGUGGACUAUCCCAAACGCCAUCUGUUGACAACGAUAUUGGGGGGGCCCAUCAUUGGAUUGGGUUGGCUCUGAUACCAUGUUAAAAAUGAAUAUUGGGCUCAUUCCUCCCUUAAAAGGCCUUGUAAGGGAGAGGGUUGCCUCACCAUAUAAAGUGGCUCAUGCCACUAUCUCCAAUCCAAUGUGGAACACUUCAAUAAAGAUGAUCAUAUAAAUGUGUAAGUAUUAAUUGAUUGUUGAGAUCAAGCUGAUGCGCAUGCGACUAUAUAUGCUACUUUCUACUACCAGAUAAUAUAUAGCUUAAUUACUUGUUAUUUGCAUUCGAAGAUGAUUAUUUUGUUUUUCUUUACCUAUAUCUCGUAAUAUUAUAGUUAAUGAACUGAAAUUACAUGAACUGGAAUUUCUUUUUAUUUAUUUGAGUACCUACCUCAUAAAUAGUAGGUAUAACCGUAGAAGCAGCUAUAAUAAGAAACUUAUUGUCGAUAAGUACAUGAGCUGGCUCUUUAUGCGGUCAUUAGAUAUUUAGAUUGAAUUUUCAAUGCAACGUACAUUUUGAUUGAUAAAUUUAUAAAGAGAAAAUAAGCGAUUAUUAAAAAAAUCCUUUUUUUCCUCUCAUUUUUUACAAAAGAGAAUUUCACCUUUGAUUUCAUUUUCUUUUCACCAAAGAGCGAUAAUAUUAUCACACCAAAAAUGGAGGAAUAAUAUUAUCCCUUAUUGGAUUGAAAAUAUGGAAUGAGGAUGGUGAAAUUCUCUUUUGUUGAAAAUGAGGGAAAAGAAAGAAAAAAAUUUAAAGACAAUUUUUUGUUAUUCCUCAUUUUCUGAUCAUGAUAAAUUUAUCAAUUAAAGAGAACACUUCCUUAUUUGUAAAUGACUCAAGACGACGAGUAUAUGGAAAUAUAUCAUUUUAUAUCCCAAUAUUUAAACUUUUCUAUAAUAAAAUCUAAAUGUCAUUUUGUAUCUCAAUAUUGAAGUAUUGCAUCGACCAAAAGUUGUUCAUUGAUCAGUCUCACAGUAUAUCAGUUAAAGAUAUAAAAUAAAAGUAGACUGAGGCUUUGUUCUACAUUUAUUUUAAUGAGUAUCUUCACUUAAUCUUUCCAAUCAGUCUCUUCUGGUUCCACGCAUGUAUCACAACCAUGCUUAUCUUAUUCAACAAUCCAAAAGCCUUAAUAAUUUAUCCAAGCGUCUUCUCUCUUAAGAUUGGCAUGUAUCAUCACAAAAUUAUCUUGAGGCGCGGCGAGAAAAUACUUUGCCCAACAAUUUUAUCAUUUUAAGACAAUUCUCAUAUAUAUAUAUAUAUAUAUAUAUAUAUAUAUAUAUACUACUACGUUACUUACUUACGUUANACAAGAAAUUGAUUUUAAAUUAAAAUUUAUCUUUUUAAUAUAUAUUAUAAAUUAUAUAGAUCUUAUGAAUAGUUGUAUAUUCAAUUAGAAUUAGGAAUUCCGGCCUUAACUUCACAUAUAUACAUUGAUUCUCUGUUUAUGAGAAAAUUUCUAGAUAAUAGUACGCGAGUAAGGAUAAAAUACAGUAAAAUGAUUUGUCACUUGUGGAGAUAUUAAUCAAUCUGAUCAUUACAAUUAAUUUUUAAAUAUAAUUGCUCAUGCUUUAUUAAAAUACAGUAAAAUGAUUUGUCACUUGUGGAGAUAUUAAUCAAUCUGAUCAUUACAAUUAAUUUUAAAUAUAAUUGCUCAUGCUUUAUCAAUAUCACCAAACAUCUAAAAUAAAUAGGAAAUAUAUAUGUCGUGGAAAUUAGAUUUUAUUAAAGAACGAAAUUAGAGAUAUAUUACAGUUGAAGUCCUCAUCUUGAUUAUAUAUAUAUAUAUAGGGGGCCGCUCCAAUGAGACCCCCUAAUUUUAGUGAGAUCUAGGGCACGAUCUGGUGCGUUUAUUUUAUCAAUCCUAUGGCUGAUAUUGUAUCUGGAGGGUGAUUUUUUUUCGCAGGGUUCGAAUCCUGGAGGGAGCAGAAUAUUUUAAAUUUUGUUAUUCAUCAGUAUAUACUGCAUUUUUCAUCAGUAUAUACGGCCCUGUUCAUCAGUAUAUAUGUCUUAUUCAUUACGAAUUUUUAAUUUUUUUUUCAUCAGUAUAUAUAUCUUGUUCAUUAGAUAUACGUUUUGUUCAUUAGUAUUAUAUGUCUUAUUCAUUGUGCUCAUGUUACACGAAAAAUAGGGGGUUUCACUGGAGCGCGCUCCUAUAUAUAUAUAUGUGUGUGUGUGUGUGUGUCAGUAGGAGAGGGCUACAGUGAAAACACUUCUUAAAAUAUAAAUAUAAACGUUUUUUAAUGUACGGAUUUUAUUCAAUAGGGUUACGAAUUCAUCCAACAUGGUUACGAAUUGUGAAAGAUAAAUUUUUGCUACAUUUGGGAUUCGAACCCAGGACCACGAAUUCAUCCAACAAGGUUACGAAUCAACCGUAGAUCUUGAUGAUCUAAGGGCUGAAAAUUGUUUAUAUUUUAUAUUUUAAGAAGUGUUUUUAUUUUAGCUCUCCCCUAUGUCAAUAUAUAUUAUAUUAUAUUUUAGAUUAUAUAAACAAAAUAUUUAAUUUAUCUAUUAGGUAUGGUUGAAUCUUCAUCGGUUGUUCCAUCACUUGAUAUAUCACCUAGACUUUUCCCCGCAGCUUUGAGUGGCUUCCAUAAGCCAUGAUGUACUUUUUUAAUGGUGUGAGUUCCCCAUCCACGGGCACCAUGUACAAGAAAUCUAUUCUUAAAUAGGUCUCCAGGUUGCAUUCUAAUUUUUAAGGGAAAAUGAAAUUUAUAACUAUUGAUACACUUAGCCGGAAUUAUAAAUAAUCUUUUUGAGUGAAUCCAUAAAGUUAAUAAAAAUAAUUAAUAAUUUUGUUUUUAAAAAAUAGAAUAUUUAAUAUUUAUAUAAUACUUAAUCUCAUAAGAAAUUUGAUAAAACUAGUAAAAAUUCUAGCAGGCCCAAUUAAAUAAUAAAAGAAAUCGGCCCAUUAGAUAAACGAAUCAGCCCACUCAGAUUUAUUAAAGCCCAAAGGCCAAAACACAAAAGGAGCCUGAAUAGGAAAACCCUAAAAUAAUUAAAGAGAAAAUAUGAAUUAAAAGAAAAUAAAGCUUCCUCUCUCUCUCUCCUCGCACUCAUUAUUAGGGAUGACAAUGGGCUGGAUUUGGAUUAGAUCCUGCUUGGUUUAGAUCCAAAUUUUCUUACUUAGAUUCAGAUCCCGUCCAAAUUCAUUGUAUUUAAAAAAAUGAGAUCAAAGUUCAGAUCCAUCAAAUCCACAGGAUCCCGGGUCCAAACCCGAAAUCCAUAUGUUUUUUCUCUUCUAAAAUAAAUUCUAAAUUUACUGAAAACCAAAAUAAAUCAUAAUAAUUGUUUAGAGUUUCAACAAUUAUUCAAAAAUAAAUAAUUACGUCAUAAUCCAUUAAAAAAAGAUAUGAAAAAGCUCAUACAGCAAUAUACGGUAUAGUAUAUUGUAUGGCGAAAAAAUUUCAAUUUAUCGUACCGGUCCACCCAUAGGAAUAUCAAGGCUUUUGGGAAUAGAAAAAAGGGUAUUAUGCUGUUGGAUUCUUGAGUGAGAAGAAAAAACGUUUCAGCUUCUCCCACUGACACACACACACGUUCAAGGUUCAACUGCACACACCAUUAGGCACACAUUGAUCCCGUGCACUUGGGCUUGGGCCCAAAAUAACUCACAAGAAAAAUAUCUUUGGGGAAUGAGGCCCAACAAAAAAUAAAUAGUAUGUACAUAGAUAAAGAAUUAAAUAAAAUGGAAAAUACUUGUGAGAAUAUUUCUCAUAUACCUUACCAACGGAAUCAAGAUUUUUGAUCGAUCAAAAUAAUAGUAUUGAACUUCAAUUUAUGAAAUCUCUUUGAAAUAACAUAAUUUAUUAAAAAUCGGGCAUGUAUAUAUCAAUAGUAUACUAAUUAAGAAUCUUCUAUAUUUCUUAUGAAAAUGUUGGGUUUUUCGAAAAUGGAAAGAUUUAACAAAUUAGGAUUAGUAGUUAAUUAAGGAAUUAAGUGGGUUAUUGAAUGGCAAACUAAAGUAAAUAUUGAAGUCCAUGGAGGAUAUAAUUGUACAAAAGUGAAAUAUGACUUUUUUACGUGGACAANAAAAAAGGCAAAUAUAAUUCUUUUUCGUAGACGAAGGGAUUACUUGCUAAGAGCAUUUUGGUAAGUAAUGUUAGGAUUUAUAUACUCUUUAAGUUUUUGUUAAAAUCUAUAUAUAUAUUUCACUAAGCUAAAUGCUCCUUGUUUAUGAUGUCUCAUUCUAGUAUCUUUUAAGUAAAGAUGGUAUUAUCGAACUAAAAAUGAGAAGUAAAACGUAAACCAUGAUACUAAGAUUCGAAAUGAAACAAGAGAAACCCGAAGUGCAGCAAAAUACAUAGCAACCUAGCAUUGAACAAAAUGAGCGAGGUUUUGUUUGACAAAUAACAUGGACACAAAACACUCAAGUUUUUUAUCCAACAUUCACGUAACAUUGAUCGAAUAGAAGAUGUAACAACAGAGAAAUCCGAAUGCGCAGUUCUCUGAAGCUCAAGAAACAAAUUAAAAAAAGUGGACAAUAAAAAUUCCUAAUUAGAACAAGUUGAAGAGUUUCAUGUGAGCGUCAUGAGCAUCUGAUUGGCAUGCUCCUGCAACACGUUCCACGCUAGGUUAAUGUGCCGAUUCUCCGUGAGGGUGGCCCCGAUGGCGAAGCGGAUGACGUAGACUCCCCCGACGACGGCGUGCGUCAUGAAGACCUUGCCGGAGUCGUUGACCGACUCGAGCAGCUUGGCGGUGAGCUCGUUGGCCCCCUCGUCCCCGAAGGCACGAGCGGAGCUCGGGUAGGUCCCCAUCGGGGACACGCGGAACACGAUGGUCGAGAAGUUCCUAGGCACCACCACCUCGAACCUCGCGUCCUUCCUCACCAAACCCUCGAACUCCUUCGCCAUGCCUACGUGGCGGCGGAGGAAAUUCCGCAUGUUGGCCACGCCGUAGGUCCGGAGCACGAGCCAGAGCUUGAGCGAGCGAAAGCGCCGGUUGAGGCAGAUCUGCCAGUCUUUGUAGUCGACGACGCGCUUCGACUCGGACGCCUUGUUCCGGAGAUACUCCGGGUUGGUGGAGAGCGAGUCGUUGAGCGACGUCGGGUCCUUGACCCAGAGGCAGCAUGCGUCCAUGGUGGUGAAGAACCACUUGUGGGGGUUGAAGCUGAAGGAGUCGGUCCUCUCCACGCCGUCGAGGAAGUGCCGGAACUCCGGGCAGAUGCACGCGCUGCCGGCGUAGGCGGCGUCCACGUGGACCCAGAGCCCGUACUCCUUCGCCACAUCGCAGAGCGGGCCCAGGGGGUCCACGGCGGUGGACGACGUCGUGCCCACCGUGGGGCAUAGGAAGAGCGGGACCAGCCCGGCCUUGAGGUCCGCCUCGAUCGCCGCCCGGAGCCCGUCCGCCGUCAUGGCGAAGGCGUUCCGGGCCGUGGUCCCGACGGCCCGGAAAUUCUCGCGUUUGAUCCCGGCGAUCUGGGAGGCCUUCUGGAAGGCGGAGUGCGUCUGGUCGGAGGCGUAGACGACCAAUUUGGUGAUGUUUUCAAGGCCGAUUUUGUGCAGCAUCUUAUCUCGGGCGGCUACGACCGUGCAGAGUAUGGCCUCGCAGGUGGUGCCUUGGAUGACGCCGCCGCCGCCGCCGGCGAAGAGGAAUUCGUUGGGGAGCUGGAGCAUCUUCCCGAUCCAAUCCAUGACGAUGUUCUCGAGCUCGGUGGAGGCCGGGGAGGUGAUCCAGUUGAAUCCGGGGGUGUUGAAGGCGGUGCAGAGCAUUUCGCCGAGGAAUCCAGCGGUGCUCAUGUUGCUGGGGAAGUAGCCGUAGAAGUUGGGGCUUUGCCAGUGGGUGAGGCCCGGGAUAAUAUCAUUCCGCACGUCGCGGAGGAUGUCCUCAACGGCCUCCGGAUCCUGCGGGGCCGAAUCCGGGGUUCGUUUCUUCAGGUAUCCGGGCUCCACCUGGCUCCGGACCGGAUAAUUUUCCAUGUUUUUGUAGUAAUCGACGAUGAAAUCGACUACCAAAUGAGCGUGCCUUCUGAACUCUUCGGGCUCAAAAGCUUUCACGGAUGUAGGGAAGCCAUUUUCAGGCUCUUCUUCAGUACGUAGGCUGCCCAUGAUUGGAUUAGGCCCGGGAUAGAAGGCACGAUUUUCUUUUUUUAUCUUCUUCUUUAUUUUUUUUUAGAAGAAGAGACUUGUUUUUCUAAUUUUUUUUAUUUUUUUUUGGUGGGAAGAACAACAAGAGUUUACCUUCUACUACUUAAUCGAUAGUAUGGAUAGGAACUUGUGAAGUCGCCGCUUUAAUAGGGCUUGUGAAGAUGUUAUUGCAUGCGAGACCUUUUGUUUCGAGUAACCUUUCGUCUCGAGAUUCCAUAUUAAGAGUUAUGGUUUGCGGUUCAUAAAUGGAAAUCAAAUAUCGUAGCCGUAGGUGCAUCAAAUUAAUGUCAUGAUGUUUCUCAUUAACAUAAUAUACUAGCAUUUGCAACCCGUGCGAUGCACGGAAAACGUUUUUAUAUUUUUAUAUAUAUAAAUUAAUACCAACUCAAUAAUCAUAUUUAUAAAUAUAAGAAAAAAAAAUAAUUUUCACUUAAUAUAUUUGAGUUGAAUAUUUAAAAAAAUAAAAAAAUAAAGAAAAGUUCACAAUAAUAAAAAUUGAUAUUGUGAAAAGGCAUAAAUAAUAAGUAAAAAGAAUAAAAUAGAAAAAAUUGAUUUAUUCAAAAAAAGAGGAGAGAUGAGAGAGAAUUUUUAAAAAUCAUUAAUCUUUAAAUAAAUAUAACUCUCCGUUUUAAAUCAAAUAUUUACAUAAAAUAUAUCAAAUUAAUGCUCUUAUCAUGAUAUUUAAUUUGAUAUAUUUUAUAAACAAUUUUAAUUUCACAAUUUUAGAAAGAAAUAAUGUUAAAAAAAAUAAGAACACGGAGAAAAAAUUAUAUUGUACAAAUAAAACUUCAAUUUUUUAUAACUACAAAAUUGUCACUUAUUAAUUUUGAAAUCAAUUUGAAAUUGAAAAUUGUCUUCUUAAUAUAUUAUAAAUUAUUGUAUAAAUAUAAAUUUAUAAAUUAUUUAUAACCAAUGCCUUAUAAAUUGUGUAUAUAUACACAUAUAAACAUAUAAUUCAUUAUGGAAUUAUAAACGUGGGUUAUGCAAUUUUUCUUUUUAAACGUGGGGUGGUGUGCAUUUUUUUAAAAAUUAUGGGUUAUGCAAUUUUAAUUGAGUUAGUUACUUAAUUUUUGAAUAUAUACAAUAAGUCAUUAUUUUUGUAAGAAAUCACAAAAUUGCCAUCUAAUUCAAUUUGAAAUCAAUUUCUAAUUGAAAACUGCUGUUUUAAUAUAGUAUAGAUAGUACGUAAUCAAACACAUAUAUUUGACAAACUUAUAGAUUUUUUUUGGUAAGAAAAUACCAACUAUAUAGAAUAAUGAUCAGAUCAAAAUUAUCUUGACCUUUUCGAUUUUUUUCUAAGAAAUAUACCAAUUUUAGACCAAUUCUGAUUUUAACAUCAACUUUAAAAAAUGUCAUAAAAUAUAUGUAUCAAUUUAUCAAUUGUACUAAUUUUAACACGAGCUUUAGUUACCUUCAUAGAUACAAUUCGUGUUAAAAUUACUACAAUUUGAUUUGUGACAUUUGUCCACUUCAGAAUUUCGUCAUACCAAGUAAGCUUUAAUUUAGCCGGAAAUAGAAUAAGUGUUGAAUUACUACAAUCAAUAAGUUGGUGUAUUCUGACACAUUUUCUAAAGUUCAUGUUAAAAAUCUAAAUUGAUCCAAAGUUGGUGGAUUUAUAUGCCAAUAACCCCUUUUUUUAAAUACCAGUAUUUCCAUCCUUGAUUGUGGUUCUUCAAAUUCAAUGACUUAUAGCAAUAAUUUUUCAAUGAUAUUGGAUAAUUCAUUAUUAAUCAUGAUAUUUUGGAUAUUUAACUAAAUUGUAACGGAGUUGACGCUCAUAAAUUGUGACAGUUUAGUGUUUUGAAGAAGAGAGAAGAACAAACGAACUUGUAGAGCUCUAAUAAAAAAGAGAUGUUGGGAAAUUAAUAGAAAUGUCCUAUCCUUGUUUUGAUGAUUCCAAAACACUUAGUUUAUCUUCACUAGACUAGAGUAAUAAUGGACUCAAGUGUUAGAGUCCAUGUUUUUUGUUAGACUGAAGAUCGAAGACUGAAGACUGAAGUCAAAAGACUAAAGACUGAAGUCUGAAGACUGAAGAGCUGAAGAACUGAAGUCUGAAGACUAAAUUAAGUACUGAAGUAUGAAGACUGAAGUGUCGAAGACUAGAGACUAAAGUUCUUGUCAAAACUGAAGACCAAGACUCAAGACUGCUGACUCGCACUGAAGGACACGAAUACUGAUGUAUCAGUGUUAGGAAAACACUGAUACAUGCCACGUCGGAUAAAGCAGAGACUGAUACUGAAGUAAAGUAUCAGUUGAAACCUCGGACUUAUGUUCUCUGUCCCAAACUGAUUCUCAGUUUAAGGAUGUUUCAUUUGCUUUAAAAGAAGCUACGUGGAAAACAUGCACGUACAACCGCAUUUAAUGCGAAGAUCUGCAAAAUCAUCCUUCAGAAUAUAGAGUUUUCCCUUUUGUGCUGCUUUAUUCUGCAGUACCCUCACCUACUGAAGAAAGGACGGUACCUUCUUUCAGUUUAGAGAGGACGAAGACUGAGAAUCUGAGCCCAAAUUCAAAUCUGAGUAGGGCUAGGAAAUUCGGGAUCGGGUAUAGGGUACCCGAUUAUCCAACCCGAAAAAAUCGGGUAUCGGGUACCCUAUACCCGAAAAAUUCGGGAUCGGGUUCGGGAUCGGGUAUUUAGGGUAUGAAAAAAUCGGGUAUCGGGUAUACCCGAAAUACCCGAAUUGUCUAUUAAAUAUAUUUUAAACUAUUUAAUUAAAUUUAAUAUGAAAGUUAAAAUUAAAACUAAAGCCUAAAAACUAAGCUGCUCUGUUCCCAUUUUCAAUUCCCAAAUCCCAAAUCCCAAUCCCAAUCCGCCAGCCCUAGUCUGUACUCCCGCCCGGCCGCCCCCCACUCCAGAAAUCGUUCCCGUCUCCGGCGACCCAGCGGCGCCCCUCGCCCGCCCGCCGUUCUCCUCGGCCGUCGCCAGUGGGAAGCUCGCUCCCAGUCCCACCGCGACCCUCGCCCAGUCGCUCCGUCGUUCCGCCUCCGAGCUCCGACGACAGGUGAGCUUCUUCUUCUCCGACGACAGGUAAACCUCCGUCCACGCAGCGUCACGCCGUAGCUGAAUCUCCGACCCCGCAGCAGCACCGGCGCCACCUCCGCCCUUUUCUCCCGUUGUGCCUCGAUUACCUUUAGUUUUCCUUUUCUUAAAUAAUGGCACAUAUUUGUAAAUGGUUUGACUAUGUAUAAUCUUCAGUGAGAAUUAUUUUUCUAAAAUAUUUGUAUAGUUUUGAUUGUCGAGAUUUGGAGUCAAAGGCACCUCCUUUGGGAAUUGAUUUUCCAUUCUGCACACAUGUGUUAAGCUGCUCUGUUUUGUUAAUUUGGUGAAGCUGAUCGAUUACAGGUAUGUAUGUAAUUAAUUCAUUUCCUGGGGUGAUAUCAGUCGGGUAAUUUAGGGUACCCGAAUACCCGACUCGGGUACCCGAGUCGGGUAUUAGGGUACCCGAUUUUAGAAUCGGGUUCGGGUUCGGGGUCGGGUAGGAAUUUUGGAUGAAUUUCGGGUUCGGGUACCCGAUUUUUUCGGGUAGGGUACCUGAACCCGACCCGAUUCCCACCCCUAAAUCUGAGUCACAACGGCAGAAAACUGAAGACAGACCUCCUCCAAUGGAUCUUUCUCAGGACGCUGCCUAUAAAUAGAGCUCAACAAUCAACCUCAUACCUCAGCGAUUCAACGCACAAAGCUGAAACUCUGUCGAACUCAAGAGCCAGCUAACUCACUGCUAUCAAGUUUGAAUCGAAGAAGAGAGUACCCAUUGUUGCAACUAUCAGUCUAAAUUGAUAACAUACAUUCUCUUAGUUUUGUUAGGCAUAUACAUUCAAAUCAUUAGCCCAGCUAGAAACUGAUUACUGAGAUCAUGUUCUCAGUAAUCCUAGUUGGAAUUCGAACCCCUUUUCAAAAGAGACAAAAUAGCGUUUGAAAGAGUGUUCGAGAAAGUUGUCUAAACACUAGGUUGUUUAGCACCCGCAAGCUAAACGUGUGGUUUACUCAACACCAGUAAGCUAAUUAAGGAAGAGAAGUCCAACCCAGUGUGUUGGCACUGAAAAGAGUUUUUUAGUAGUAAGGUUUGCUGUGUACCCGUAAGCACGAGCCUAAUCGAUUGUCAGUGUGAUCUACUGACCGUGGACAUAAGAAUCAGUAUUCCGAACCACAUAAAAAUCAUUGUAUUCUUUAUGCUUUCAGUUUUUUUAGUUCUUAUAUAGCGCACUAUUUCUGACAUAUACUGAAUACUGGUAACCUAAAGGAUAAACCCUAAAACUGAUACUCUAUUUCAUUAAAUAAUCACAUAUAGCCUCUAUUGUAAUAUGAAAAUAUUUAUAGCCCCUUAUCAUAAUCUGAUUUAAAAAAAUACGUUUAUGCAUAUAAACCAUAUAAACAACUGUAUAGCCCCAACUCAAAAUUAUGUAAACCACAUGAAAUAAAUAAAAUUAAUAUUGUAUUCGACUUGUUUUAGAGUUCUAUGAUGCAAAUAUUGGAUGAAAAUUCUGAAAUCGAAGAUAAUAUAUUUUAGGUAUGUACAUAAUUUUACUCAAUCAAAUUUAGAAGAACACAGUUUCAAAAAAAAAUUAGAAGAACACGUAUGAUUUUAUUCUGUCAAAAGCAAUCGGAUGUUAAAUUUUAUGCAUGCAUUUUGUACUUGAGGCGGUGCCGCAAUUUUGUUGCUUUAAUAAGUUGCCGCCGUUGUUUUUGUUAGAUUAGUCAACCGCAUUUGUUGACAAUCAAAAAGUUAAGUUUCGCUUUUUAAAUAUAUCCAAGUUAUUAUGCAUGAGUUAGUAGCACUUGUUUAAUUUAGGAUGAACUGUAAUCGAUGUUCAUGAAAUUGCAUUAAUAGAUCCAAAUUUUCUUCUGCAAAAGCUCCUCACUUUUUAAGUAUAUCCAAGUUAUUAUGCAUGAGUUAGUAGCAUUUGUUUAAUUUAGGAUGAACUGUAAUCGAUGUUCAUGAAAUUGCAUUAAUAGAUCCAAAUUUUCUUAUGCAAAAGCUCCUCCAUCAUUGCCACCUACACCCAUCAGCCACUGUGUCUCUACCACCACCAUCUGUUGGAUUUUCUAUUAACUAAUAUGCAUAUUCCGGUAACUGUAGAAAUUGGAGCAUGAUCUGAUGAGGCAUACUUUUGCUAGAAUAUUCUUACCAUAUGUUUAAAAUUUAAUAUAAUUUGAAAGCUGUACAACAUAGAAAAAAAUAGUAAACUUUUGAUUAAUUAUUAUUAAUAUUUUAAAAAGGAGGUGUAAGGAGUAAGAGAGGGGCUAUAAAUAGAAUCACCCAUCACACUAUAAAGAUCAGCUGGGCCGCCCACUUAAAGCCCACAUCUAAAAGCCCAUUUAAACAAAAGAUCAGCUGAAUCACCUCUAAUUCCCCUACACCCUCGUCUGCAUCUCAAUUUCAGGUGCAUCUCAAUCCCUCGUCUCCUCCCUCAUCUGCAUCUCAAUUCCAGCCCCUCCUCCCUCGUCUGCAUCUUAAUUUCAGGUGCGUCUCAAUUUCAGUGUUCCGCUUUUCUCCGCGCUGCUUCCUGUCAUGGUGGCUCUCACCGCCUUCGCAGCCCUCUCAUCGACAUUCACUUCUCGGGCGACAUUUUCUGUUAUCCUUAGUUUCAUUCAAUUUUUUUCCCUUUUCUUUGUUUGGAAAACCAAACUUGUAUUGCUACUCACUUAGGUUUCUGACUUUUUAAAAUUGCUACUGACUUUGUUUGUAAUUGCUCACCCGAAGAUUAUUGUUGGGUAUCUUCGCCUAGCCGGAGGUUCACCUCUUGGUUACCGACCGUCCUGCCGCCUUCACACGUUGCUCAAGCAACAACAAAACUCUACACUCCGUGCUUCUUCCUUUUCCUUCUUCUUACACCUAAACCUGCAAAAUCAGAGGAAAUGCAAGUAAAAAAGAAAAAGAACAGAAUACAACAGGAAGAAGUAAAGAAAGACAGAGGUGGGAAAAAAGGUGUCUCAGGGACACAGGUGGCUCAGAUUUUUCCCACGGUAGGCUCGGCUCUUCCGGCAGCGUUAAUGAUCACGGCUCAAGGAAACAUGGAGAACUAAUCGGCACUCAAGUCUCGCUUUGCACAGCCACCAAAAUCCACAGUGUAUCACCAAACAGGAAUCCAAUUAACAGGAAUCCGGCGACACACGCAAUCAAUCGGAGCGAGGUUCACACACACAGUCACCAAUCAGGAAACCACGAACAGGAAUCCGGCGACCCUUCAGGAAGGAAUAGCAGAGCCCUCCGGUCAAACAGUGUGUGAAAAACUCUCUCUAAUGGAAAGCCAAUGCAGCGGGGAUUAAAAGGGUGGAGCAUUAAAGUCGAAGGUGGGGAAACGAGGAGACGGGGCGGUGGAAGGGCGGUGGAGAGGGGGAAGACAAAAAGGUUAGGAGGGGAGAGAGAGGAGCGGCGCAGGGGAGUGAUGAAAUGGGGGGGGCUGAUUUGGACUUAGGGUAUAAAGGGGAUGGGCUUGGGGCUUGGGGGGAAUUAAGUGAUAUUGGGCCAACACUCCACAUUCCACCUUUGGCACAAUGAUCAUUAAGUCACCAGGAAAGAGCCAGCCUUUGAAUCGAGCUUUAUCAUCACAGCCAUUUUUACAUCAUCCUGUCACAGAGACAAGAUAAUAGAGGGUGAGAAAAAUAUUAUGCAUAUUUAACUCAAUCUCUACACUAGAGACCAACCCAAGGGGAAAUCACCACAUUCUCAAACCAUAAGGUUAUCAUUGAAGACUCACAGACACAACAAAACACUCACACAUAGCAAGAACAAAGCAGAGAAGACGGUCGACAGAACAGAGCAGAGCACACAUAUGCGACGACAAAGCAGAGAACAGACUCAAAGCAAAGCAGAACAGAAACACAUAGUAGGGCAGGAAGGCCGACCAGGACAGAGCUAACGACAACAAACCAGAGCAGACCAGAGCUCAACAGAGCAGAGCGGAGCUCGCGACACAGAACUCAGACUACAGUCAGAGCCAGAGACAACACACAGAACACAGAGCAAGCAUACACACAGAGCACAGCUCAUGACGAAUGACAAGGGAAUGACGCAAAACAAACUCAGAGCAAAGCUCCAACAGACAGAGCAAAGCUCAGACACAACAGAAACACAAAAUGUCAUCCAAACUCUUUCUUAGUAAAUCCCUUAACAACAAGCCUAGUUUUAUAUCUCACAUUAUCAAUUUCAUGCUUGACUUUGAACAACCAUUUGCACUCAACAAUAGAACAUUCAUCAGGCUUUUCAAUAAGUAUCCAAGUUUCAUAAUUAUUAGUUUUAUUCAUAACAUGCUCACGUCCGGGCUCAUUAUGCAUGAUUGGUCCAUUCCCAACCACAGGGUUUACAUCCGAAUUGAAUUGGGGAUCCACCUUAAAAGGAGCAGUGGGGGUAAGCAUAAACUCAUCUCUUUCAUGAUCAAAGGAUUUCAGUUUCUCCACCUCACUUGGAGCAUCAGAUUGUGAGGAUUCAGUCAAACAUGGAAUGGUAAGUUCAUUAAACAUUACAUCCCUACUGAUGCAAGUUCUAAACCCAGGGAUAGACCUAUCCCUCACCAUAUAGCAGUUGAUCAUAAUGACAGAAAAGGCUCAAACUGCAGGCAGCAAAACUCAAGACAGCAGCCACACAGACACAAACAAAACAACAGUCAACAAGCAACAACCCAGAGCAGAGCUCAACAAACACCAGAGCUCACACAAAAAAUCCAGAUAAGCCCCUCUCUCCCUUGUUUUCCAGGAUACUCGCACGAGGAGACCCACAGGGGAAUCCAGACGAACUGGACCAAAACAAGGGAGAUCUCACUCGGCUUGGAAUGCCAAAGGUUUAUCGAGAUUUCAGACACCACGCGGAAGCACAAAAGAAAAACAGGAUCGCAAGAUACCAAGAUCUUCAACAAGCAAAACAUGCAAAACACAAACAACAACAACAACACCAACCCUAGAAGCUAGGAGUNUCCGAUCAAACAGUGUGUAAAACUCCCUGCAAUGGAAAGCAAUGCAGCGGGGAUUAAUAGGGGUGGAGAGGAGUAAAGGUUUUUGGGAACACAAGGAGUGGCAGCCAUUAAUGGUGGGGGAAGCUCGAGAGAACAGGAGAUCAGAGGUC